UGGUCUAUCCUUGCUUUGGUUGAUA
RNAcentral lists this microRNA (25 nucleotides) under Tribolium castaneum (red flour beetle). Its description in RNAcentral is "Tca-Mir-3-P10_5p* (star (passenger))". Lineage: Eukaryota; Metazoa; Arthropoda; Insecta; Coleoptera; Tenebrionidae. The record is from RNAcentral.